This 253-nucleotide ribosomal RNA is filed under the name uncultured bacterium. RNAcentral's name for it is "partial 16S ribosomal RNA". It matches the Rfam family "Bacterial small subunit ribosomal RNA", at positions 524 to 776 of the family's 1533-position model. The record is from RNAcentral.
UACAGAGGUCUCAAGCGUUGUUCGGAUUCAUUGGGCGUAAAGGGUGUGUAGGUGGCGCGCUAAGUCGGGUGUGAAAUCUCGGGGCUCAACCCCGAAACUGCACUUGAUACUGCGGUGCUAGAGGACUCGAGAGGAGAUUGGAAUUCACGGUGUAGCAGUGAAAUGCGUAGAUAUCGUGAGGAAGACCAGUGGCGAAGGCGGAUCUCUGGAGAGUUCCUGACGCUGAGGCACGAAGGCCAGGGGAGCAAACGGG